This 468-nucleotide ribosomal RNA is filed under the name uncultured bacterium. Its description in RNAcentral is "partial 16S ribosomal RNA". It matches the Rfam family "Bacterial small subunit ribosomal RNA", at positions 39 to 507 of the family's 1533-position model. The record is from RNAcentral.
GGGGGGGGGGGGGGGGGGGCGGGAGGGGGGGGAGGCGAGCGGGGGGGCGCGGGGGGGCGGGCGGGGGGGAGUGGCGAACGGGGGAGUGACACGUGAGGAACCUGGCCCGGACUGUGGGAGAGGCGCUGGCAGCGGCGUCUCAUGCUGGAUACGAGACGGUUCCGCAUUGGCCCGUUCUGGAAAUGUUGUCGGGUGGGUGUGUGCUCGCGGCCUAUCAGCUGGUUGGUGAGGUAAUGGCUCACCAAGGCGACGACGGGUAGCCGGCCUGAGAGGGCGACCGGCCACACUGGGACUGAGACACGGCCCAGACUCCUACGGGAGGCAGCAGUGGGGAAUAUUGCACAAUGGGCGAAAGCCUGAUGCAGCGACGCCGCGUGAGGGAUGACGGCCUUCGGGUUGUAAACCUCUUUCAGCAGGGAAGAAGCGAAAGUGACGGUACCUGCAGAAGAAGCACCGGCUAACUACGUG